Molecule: ribosomal RNA, 468 nt
Filed under: uncultured bacterium
Lineage: Bacteria
Description: partial 16S ribosomal RNA
Rfam family: Bacterial small subunit ribosomal RNA
Source: RNAcentral
GACGAACGCUGGCGGCGUGCUUAACACAUGCAAGUCGAACGGCAAGGCCCUGCUUUUUUGCGGUGCUCGAGUGGCGAACGGGUGAGUAACACGUGAGUAACCUGCCCUUGACUUUGGUAUAACUUCAGGAAACUGGGGCUAAUACCGUAUAGGAUCUCCUGCUCCAUGGUGGGGGUUGGAAAGUUUCGGCGGUUGGGGAUGGACUCGCGGCUUAUCAGCUUGUUGGUGGGGUAGUGGCUUACCAAGGCUUUGACGGGUAGCCGGCCUGUGAGGGUGACCGGCCACAUUGGGACUGAGAUACGGCCCAGACUCGUACGGGAGGCAGCAGUGGGGAAUAUUGCACAAUGGGCGGAAGCCUGAGGCAGCAACGCCGCGUGCGGGAUGACGGCCUUCGGGUUGUAAACCGCUUUCGCCUGUGACGAAGCGGGAGUGACGGUAAUGGGUAAAGAAGCACCGGCUAACUACGUG